GACAGUUCGGUCCCUAUCCGUCGCAGGCGUAGGAAAUUUGAGAAGACCUGUCCUUAGUACGAGAGGACCGGGAUGGACGUACCUCUGGUGUACCAGUUGUCCUGCCAAGGGCAUGGCUGGGUAGCUAUGUACGGAAUGGAUAAGCGCUGAAAGCAUCUAAGCGCGAAGCCAACUUCAAGAUAAGAUUUCCCACCGCAAGGGUAAGACCCCAGAAAGACUA
RNAcentral lists this ribosomal RNA (220 nucleotides) under Clostridioides difficile. Its description in RNAcentral is "partial 23S ribosomal RNA". It matches the Rfam family "Bacterial large subunit ribosomal RNA", at positions 2625 to 2847 of the family's 2925-position model. The record is from RNAcentral. Lineage: Bacteria; Bacillati; Bacillota; Clostridia; Peptostreptococcales; Peptostreptococcaceae.